AGUGAUGCAGGAACAUCUACAACACUAGUACUAUGUUCCCCAGCAUUUAAAUUUCACAGAUGCAGGUCAGAAGUCUGUAUUUCUCUCUUCUUCCUAUCUGUAUGGGAGUCUGCUUCAAUCUAAAGAUUAUGUUGCUUAUCACCUCAUGCACUGAGGCAUACAGUCAGCCUCAGCUGCAGACUUGAGAAAACAUGAAAUACAUGAGUUUUAUAAGGAUAAUUAAUUUCGCUGUAAAACAAUCAACAAACCAAAUGCAGUGACAGGUAGUAAAGAGUGGCUAUAGAGUAGUAAUAGGGCUGUAGAAGAAAUAUUUUUUAACCCACCAAGCAUGAUAAAUCAAUAGGUGAUUUACAAUGAUCUUGAGUAGGAAAAGAAACUUGAGACAAGAUACAUGACGAUUAAUGCUUUCAUCUAAAAGACAUUUGCUCUGUUUUCAGUUGUGCAGCUGUCUUCUCAGUCAAUAGAUUGGUAUAGUCAAAGGAUACCUACUGCAGAGACAUGUCUUGAACUGGAAUGAUGACAAUUUGUAUCUUUUCAUCCAUCUGAACACAGAAGGAGAGUCAACAGCUAGUAUUGAGGAAUUACAGCUGCUGGUCUUCUCUUCUGAGUGCCACCUUCCAUUUCUGGAUCUCUGGUGUUUCCAUGUUUGUUGACACCGCGCAUGACUAAAAUGGCUCUGAAAAACCGGAACUGUGGAGAAGGCCCCAGGGGCAGCGGCAGACCCAAGUUGCCUAGCAACUGUGUGCAUUGCUCUGGGGGUGAUAAACGGGGAAGCUCCUCAAAAAUGCCCAGUGGGGUCACAAGGAUAUGUUUAAUGCAUGGUUGAAAUUGGAUUUCCCUUCAAAGAAAUAGCCCAUCUGGUGUGUGUGUGUGUGUGUGUGUGUGUGU
RNAcentral lists this long non-coding RNA (888 nucleotides) under Anas platyrhynchos platyrhynchos (common mallard). RNAcentral describes it as "lncRNA (ENSAPLG00000021104.1)". Lineage: Eukaryota; Metazoa; Chordata; Aves; Anseriformes; Anatidae. The record is from RNAcentral.